This 87-nucleotide unclassified non-coding RNA is filed under the name Pseudomonas yamanorum. The record is from RNAcentral. Lineage: Bacteria; Pseudomonadati; Pseudomonadota; Gammaproteobacteria; Pseudomonadales; Pseudomonadaceae.
UGUGGGAGCUGGUUUGCCUGCGAUGGCAUCACCUCGGUGUGUCUGAAAAACCGAGUUGUCUGCAUCGCAGGCAAGCCAGCUCCCACA